UACUGAACUUUAGUCAUCACUGGGGAAGUUUGCCUGACACUCUCUCAGCUCUGGGUUUAUCUGCAUUGACAGGACAAUAAAAAUUCUUGUCUAUCACUCUACUGCUGUCACCUUUGGCUUCUGCACUUUGUAGUGGAAGAAUUUAAUGGAGUUCUGCCCUCUCUUCUCCUGCCCUGCUCUCUCACUUGGUUCACAGGGAAUGGUGAACUGGCAUUAACAUCCUUGCACUGAGGCAACACUGCCAAGCUCUUGCUGCUGCAUAAUGUCCAGGAGCUCAAAUUCUGCCAAACAGAGCCAUUGAUCCUUCAGCUUGUGCCAGUUCAAAGGAACAUAGGAUGCAUAUCCAGCUUUGUAGAAGGGCUGACAAGUGAUUUGGGGCAGACAAUUGGCAUGGACAUCAGUGAGCAACACUGAAGGCAGGGUAAAGACUGCAUUGGGGAGAUCUUUUUGGCUGGUUAUGGUUAUUAGUUUUUGACUGUAAAAGGGUUGUUUUUAUUUAUUCAGAUGUCUAAAAAUAUCCUGGUAAUGAAUUAACCUGAAUAGGGGGAGGAGGACAGCAGAACGCAUAUUGAUUUUCUAAAAGCAGGCAAGAAUGCUGUUAUUUUCCAAUUAACGUUCAGUAUUCCAGAACUAUCCAGCUGGAAAGAACCAGCUAAGCAACAGCAAGCUUUUUGCUUUCUGCACUUUUUCUAGUGAUAUUUUUCUCAUUAAACUUCUUUAAAAAGGGCCCUAAUAGCAACUUCACCAUUUCUUUGGCUAAUGGUGAUUAACUUGUCGUGGACUCCACUGGGGUGUCUAUGGAGUAACUGGUGGGUAUCCAACUGUUCAUGCUGAAGCAGAAGACAUGAUCAUCUAAAGCCUGCCCCUGCUCCAGUACUGGAGAAAAGUGUGAGAGGCAAACUAUCUGAAUGCAGCAUUCAUGAUAAGGAUGCUUCUCUAUAAAACUCACAGCAGAUCUGGGUUUCUGGUGGGACUGCUGAUGUCCUGUAGUCUGAUUCUGGCUGAGUCACCCUUUUCUUUCCACUUUUCUUUUUUAUUAUAUCUGUCAUAACAUCCAUGCCUCUUCCUGCUUAUGUCUUGCGGUUUCUUAUGGUUUAGUAUACUUGAGGCUCACCAGAUUCAAUAGCAAACAAUGAGUGAAAAUUACACCCUUCAAGUCCCCCUUAGUGACUACUGACUGACUAGACCUGAAUCAUGUGGCCAGGAGCAGCCUGCACCACAAAUCCAGCAGGCAGCACAGAGUCACACCACUGGCUCUCCAGUGAGACCAAGCAUUAGAUCCUGCAGCUCAUAUUAUGUACCCAAAGCAUUGAGCACUGAUAACAGGAAAGCAGAUUGGAAGCAGUGAAAUUACCACCUUUCUGAGUAAACAUGUGCACACACAGGUCAACAUACAUUCGCAUAAAUUGAGAUCCUUAUUUUUUAACAGGUUCCCUGAGGUUUUAUCUGAGUUUUCAAGUCUUCUCUGCUUUCUGAAUUUUUAUUUUUCUCUCUUGCAAGUUGCCCUUUUCAAAUUAUUAACUUGUGCAGGGGUGAACUUUACUGAGUUCAAGCAACAGCAGAACUUGUCUGGCUAACAGUAUGCACUGUAUUUCCUUGCAAUUUGUCUCUCUCAUCCCAAAUGCUCAAGGGAAUAUGGCUAUAGAAAGUCCACCCUGGGACUUUCCCUGGUAUACAGGUUAUGGAAACAAGUGCUGAAGCAGAAUUCGGCUUUUCUCCAUCUUGGACUUGGCAAAGUGUUUGUUAAAACUACAAGCACCCAUUACUAUUAUAGUGAGAUGGAACUUUUGCCAGAUAUUUCUGAACAGUUUUGCAUAAAUUUCAAUAUAUAUGUUCUUAUUUAGCAAAUGUUUAUUUAGCUAUCACUGUAGUUUUCCUUUAAGGGUCUACCAAGGGCCCAGGGAGAGUGACAAAACCACCAGCUUUUGCUGAGGAAUGAUAUGCCCUGCAGUUAUAUGUGUGUUUUCAGUCUGGAGACAAAUUUUAGGGCCUGGAUUUAUUUAUAGUGUCUAAUAGAUGCUUUGAUAAUUAUGUGCAUGGGAAUGGAAAACAAAUUCUCCAGAUUAAAAAGCAUAAAGAAAGUGUGUUUGGAUUAGCAUGAUCAACUGAAAGCAUCCAUUUGAUUCUUGGUAUAUAUAUAUAUAAUUUACUAAGCUGCAAAAUAAACAUACUCUACUGUU
Long non-coding RNA from Pseudopipra pipra, 2180 nucleotides. RefSeq lists it as uncharacterized. The record is from RefSeq and is a predicted model, not a curated record. The transcript is spliced from 2 exons. Lineage: Eukaryota; Metazoa; Chordata; Aves; Passeriformes; Pipridae.